Molecule: long non-coding RNA, 411 nt
Organism: Photinus pyralis (common eastern firefly)
Lineage: Eukaryota; Metazoa; Arthropoda; Insecta; Coleoptera; Lampyridae
Exons: 3
Source: RefSeq, a predicted model, not a curated record
CUCUACAGGUGUUGAACGAGCCUAAGUUUUAUGCUGCCAUGUGGUUAAUGAUCCGCAUAACGCGUAAAACGCCAAAUCACAAUUGGAACAAUUGAAACAUGAGCCGGAUAAAACCCAGUUAAGAAUUUGUAGCUUCACCACAUACAGACAAGUGUCUUACAAUGCCACAGGAAGAAUGAAUUCGGGGAAAAAUCAAGAGCACUAGGGAUUCCCCUUAUCUAUUAGGACAAAGAAAGAAGACCUAGAUAAGCUGAGAGAAAGAAUAGGAAGAUUUUUAAAUGUGAACAGUUCGAUGUUAUCAGUAAGAUUAAGAUGUGAAAUCACAGAAGAGAAAGGAACAAUGAACUAGGAAAAUUGAAAUGUUAUAACCCGUAAUUAAUGGACAAGACAUAAAGUAAAAACCCAAACCCA